UGAAGCUACUAAGAGCUUACGGUGGAUGCCUUGGCGCUAAGUGCCGAUGAAGGACGUGGGUCACUGCGAUAAGCUUCGGGGAGUCGUGAACAGGCUUUGAUCCGGAGAUUUCCGAAUGGGGAAACCCACCGUUGCAAACCAACGGUAUCCACAGCUGAAUAUAUAGGUUGUGUGAAGGGAACCUGGGGAACUGAAACAUCUAAGUACCCAGAGGAAAAGAGAUUAUUCCCAAAGUAGUGGCGAGCGAAAUGGGAACAGCCCAAACCGUGACAGCUUGCUGUCGCGGGGUUGUAGGACCUGGCAUAUGGAAGUUACAAAGUAAAUCACUAGCAAAAUGGUGUGGAAAAGCCAACCAUAGAAGGUGAUAGUCCUGUAUGCGAAAGAGAUUUACCUUCCGCUAGGCACCUGAGUACUGCCGGGCACGCUAAUCCGGCAGGAAUCUGGGGGGUCCACCCUCCAAGGCUAAACACACUUAGCGACCGAUAGUGAACAAGUACCGUGAGGGAAAGGUGAAAAGCACCCCGACGAGGGGAGUGAAAUAGAAACUGAAACCGUAAGCUUACAAACAGUCGAAGGGCUAAUGGCGGGUUGGUGCUCCAGUGAAAGCUGGGUGCGCACCGCUAUGCCUGACGGCGUGCCUUUUGGAGAAUGAGCCUGCGAGUUAAUCUUUGUGGCAAGGUUAAGGGAGUAACACCCGGAGCCGUAGCGAAAGCGAGUCUGAACAGGGCGUUCAGUCGCAAGGAUUAGACCCGAAACCAGGUGAGCUACCCAUGGCCAGGGUGAAACGAGCCUAAACUCUCGUGGAGGCCCGAACCUACUAAUGUUGCAAAAUUAGGGGAUGAGCUGUGGGUAGAGGUGAUAUGCCAAACGAACUUGGAGAUAGCUGGUUCUCCCCGAAAUAGCUUUAGGGCUAGCGCCAUGCGUUAAAUAUUGGAGGUAGAGCACUGGAUGGGCAAGGGGGCUUAUAGCUUACCGACCCCAACCAAACUCCGAAUGCCAAUAUUCCAGAGCAUGGUAGUCGGACUACGGGAGAUGAGUUUCGUAGUCGAGAGGGAAAGAGCCCAGACCAUCGGCUAAGGUCCCCAAAUUCAAGCUAAGUGGGAAACGAUGUGGGAUUACUGUGACAACCAGGAGGUUUGCUCAGAAGCAGCCAUCCUUUAAAGAGUGCGUAACAGCUCACUGGUCAAGUGAUCCUGCGCGGAAAAUCUAACGGGGCUAAGCUUGGUACCGAAGCCAUGGGUUCCAGCAUUUGCUGGAGCGGUAGGGGAGCGUUCUGUUUGCUGAGAAGGUUGACCGUAAGGACAGCUGGAGCGGACAGAAGUGAGAAUGCAGGCAUGAGUAGCGUAAAACGUGUGAGAAUCACGUUCGCCGUAAGUCUAAGGUUUCCGACGCCAGGUUGUUCCGCGUCGGGUUAGUCGGGUCCUUAGCCGAGGCCGAGAGGCGUAGGCGAUGGAUAACUGGUCAACAUUCCAGUACCACUUUGAAGGAGCGAUGGGGGGACGCAGCGAGGUAGGCCAGCCUGCGAUUGGUUGUGCAGGUGCACCUUACGUCAGACGUUGAGGUCCGUAGGAAAAUCCGCGGACUGAGUUGAGGUAUGGUGGCGGUCCUCUAAGGCAUAAGUGAGCUAAGCCUUGCUGCCAAGAAAAGCCUCUAAGCGAUGAUUUCAGAGUGCCCGUACCGCAAACCGACACCGGUAGACGAGUAGAGUAUACUAAGGCGAUCGGGAGAACCUUCGUUAAGGAACUAGGCAAAUUAACCCCGUAACUUCGGGAGAAGGGGUGCCUCUUUACGUGAGAGUUUACUUGAGCGUUGAGAGGUCGCAGCGAACAGGCUCUAGUGACUGGUUAACAAAACCACAGGUCUCUGCUAAGCCGUAAGGCGAUGUAUAGGGGCUGACACCUGCCCAGUGCCAGAAGGUUAAAAGGAGGGGUUAGCGUAAGCGAAGCUCUGAAUUGAAGCCCUGGUGAACGGCGGCCGUAACUAUAACGGUCCUAAGGUAGCGAAAUUCCUUGUCGGGUAAGUUCCGACCCGCACGAAUGGUGCAACGAAUUGGGCGCUGUCUCAACGCGAAAUCCGGUGAAAUUGAAGUAUCGGU
RNAcentral lists this ribosomal RNA (2095 nucleotides) under marine sediment metagenome. RNAcentral describes it as "bacterial LSU rRNA". It matches the Rfam family "Bacterial large subunit ribosomal RNA", at positions 1 to 2054 of the family's 2925-position model. The record is from RNAcentral.